GAUGAACGCUGGCGGCGUGCCUAAUACAUGCAAGUCGAGCGAACAGACGAGGAGCUUGCUCCUCUGACGUUAGCGGCGGACGGGUGAGUAACACGUGGAUAACCUACCUAUAAGACUGGGAUAACUUCGGGAAACCGGAGCUAAUACCGGAUAAUAUAUUGAACCGCAUGGUUCAAUAGUGAAAGACGGUUUUGCUGUCACUUAUAGAUGGAUCCGCGCCGCAUUAGCUAGUUGGUAAGGUAACGGCUUACCAAGGCGACGAUGCGUAGCCGACCUGAGAGGGUGAUCGGCCACACUGGAACUGAGACACGGUCCAGACUCCUACGGGAGGCAGCAGUAGGGAAUCUUCUGCAAUGGGCGAAAGCCUGACGGAGCAACGCCGCGUGAGUGAUGAAGGUCUUCGGAUCGUAAAACUCUGUUAUUAGGGAAGAACAAAUGUGUAAGUAACUAUGCACGUCUUGACGGUACCUAAUCAGAAAGCCACGGCUAACUACGU
RNAcentral lists this ribosomal RNA (496 nucleotides) under uncultured bacterium. RNAcentral's name for it is "partial 16S ribosomal RNA". It matches the Rfam family "Bacterial small subunit ribosomal RNA", at positions 28 to 506 of the family's 1533-position model. The record is from RNAcentral.